RNAcentral lists this unclassified non-coding RNA (253 nucleotides) under uncultured Rhodospirillales bacterium. Its description in RNAcentral is "contains 16S-23S intergenic spacer region". It matches the Rfam family "Bacterial small subunit ribosomal RNA", at positions 524 to 776 of the family's 1533-position model. Lineage: Bacteria; Pseudomonadati; Pseudomonadota; Alphaproteobacteria; Rhodospirillales. The record is from RNAcentral.
UACGGAGGGGGCUAGCGUUGUUCGGAAUUACUGGGCGUAAAGCGCACGUAGGUGGCGCAUCAAGUCAGGGGUGAAAGGCCUGGGCUCAACCUAGGAACUGCCUUUGAGACUGAUGUGCUUGAGUCCGGGAGAGGGCAGUGGAAUUCCCAGUGUAGAGGUGAAAUUCGUAGAUAUUGGGAAGAACACCAGUGGCGAAGGCGGCUGCCUGGCCCGGCACUGACACUGAGGUGCGAAAGCGUGGGGAGCAAACAGG